RNAcentral lists this long non-coding RNA (330 nucleotides) under Mytilus galloprovincialis (Mediterranean mussel). The record is from RNAcentral. Lineage: Eukaryota; Metazoa; Mollusca; Bivalvia; Mytilida; Mytilidae.
ACCACUGAACCAUGAAAAUGAGGUCAAGGUCACAUGACAUCUGCCCGCUAGACAUGUACACCUUACAACCAUUCCAUACAACAAAUAUAGUAGACCUAUUGCAUAAAAUAUGAGAAAAACAGACCAAAACACAAAAACUUAACUGUAACCACUGAACCAUGAAAAUGAGGUCAAGGUCAGAUGACACCUGCCAGUUGGACAUGUACACCUUCCAGUCCUUUCAUACACCAAAUAUACUAGCCCUAUUACUUAUAGUAUCUGAGAUAUGGACUUAACCACCAAAACUUAACCUUGUUCACUGAUCCAUGAAAUGAGGUCGAGGUCAAGUGA